GAUGCUUUGUAUUAAUGCAUUUAGGAAGUCUGACCUAAUUUUAUAAUUGACUAAGCAAGUAAAUUUUGUUAUUUCAGCUUCCGUGGAUGAACUAAAGCUUCAUAUGAUUAAAUUGCAUGCAUUCACCUAAGAAAGUGGUGAUAAUGUGGAUUAAAUUUCUGGAUAAAUGGAUUCCUUCGGAAUUUUCGUUGAUCUAAGGAAGUUUAAGUCAAGACAUCCAAUACUUAUGGUAUAAAAUGUGGCAGCAUUUAAUUAUGGUGUAAACGACGUUUUAAGGAAUGCAAGAACAAGGGAGGCAUUUACGGUCCAGUUCUGCUUUAAACCACGCUAAGACAAUGAUCCUUGCUCAUAUCGGUGCUUAUUUUGAUGGAUUCAAAAAUGUUAUAUGAACGUUAAUAAAGAAAAUUUUAGAGAAACUUAAAAA
Molecule: long non-coding RNA, 424 nt
Organism: Rhagoletis pomonella (apple maggot)
Lineage: Eukaryota; Metazoa; Arthropoda; Insecta; Diptera; Tephritidae
Exons: 3
Source: RefSeq, a predicted model, not a curated record